This 252-nucleotide ribosomal RNA is filed under the name uncultured bacterium. RNAcentral describes it as "partial 16S ribosomal RNA". It matches the Rfam family "Bacterial small subunit ribosomal RNA", at positions 524 to 776 of the family's 1533-position model. The record is from RNAcentral.
UACGUAGGUGGCGAGCGUUGUCCGGAAUUACUGGGUGUAAAGGGAGCGUAGGCGGGAGAGCAAGUCGACUGUGAAAUCUAUGGGCUUAACCCAUAGCUGCGAUCGAAACUGUUCAUCUUGAGUGAAGUAGAGGCAGGCGGAAUUCCUAGUGUAGCGGUGAAAUGCGUAAAUAUUAGGAGGAACACCAGUGGCGAAGGCGGCCUGCUGGGCUUUAACUGACGCUGAGGCUCGAAAGCGUGGGGAGCAAACAGG